RNAcentral lists this ribosomal RNA (253 nucleotides) under uncultured bacterium. Its description in RNAcentral is "partial 16S ribosomal RNA". It matches the Rfam family "Bacterial small subunit ribosomal RNA", at positions 524 to 776 of the family's 1533-position model. The record is from RNAcentral. RNAcentral also lists the same sequence under 1 other name.
UACAGAGGUCUCAAGCGUUGUUCGGAUUCAUUGGGCGUAAAGGGUGCGUAGGUGGUGGCGCAAGUCUGGUGUGAAAUCUCGGAGCUCAACUCCGAAAUUGCACCGGAUACUGCGUUACUCGAGGACUGUAGAGGAGAUCGGAAUUCACGGUGUAGCAGUGAAAUGCGUAGAUAUCGUGAGGAAGACCAGUUGCGAAGGCGGAUCUCUGGGCAGUUCCUGACACUGAGGCACGAAGGCCAGGGGAGCAAACGGG